CCGGCUUUGCUUUCCAUGUCCUCGUGCUCUUCGAUUUUCUUGUUCUCACUUCUCUUUAUCUUGUUGCUGCAGGGUCAUCCAACUUCUUGUUUAUCAGGCUACUGUUUGAUAAAAUGUUUCCUGACGUCCGGACCAGUCAUACUUAUGCAAGAUAACUACUUCAGGUUAGGCGGGAGAAAUAAAAAGGGUAACCAUAGAUAUAUGGUCUAGCAUCACGAGGUUCAGGUUCCUGCUGUUGAUCAACCGUUGCUUCGGUCGAGGUGGCUUAUGCUUGAUUAUGUUCUUCUUUGUAUUUUUGUUCAUGGCCUACAUUGGUGUUACCAUCUAUUCUGUUACAAAAAUUUCAAUGGCUUAGUUUCAUGUCCCAGUACCACUUGAAGUACAACUAAGUACCUUCGGACAGGACAAUAAUGUAUGUAUUUACCUAUGGUUAUUGUUUCCUAUAAGAAA
Molecule: non-coding RNA, 450 nt
Organism: Aegilops tauschii subsp. strangulata
Lineage: Eukaryota; Viridiplantae; Streptophyta; Magnoliopsida; Poales; Poaceae
Source: RefSeq, a predicted model, not a curated record